Molecule: long non-coding RNA, 1439 nt
Filed under: Salmo salar (Atlantic salmon)
Lineage: Eukaryota; Metazoa; Chordata; Actinopteri; Salmoniformes; Salmonidae
Description: lncRNA (ENSSSAG00000113238.1)
Source: RNAcentral
UAGAAAUAAAAGCUGAAAUAAAUCAGUCUCUCUACUAUUAUUCUGACAUUUCACAUUCUGAAAAUAAAGUGGUGAUCCUAACUGAUCUAAGACAGGGAAUUUGUACUUGGAUUAAAUGUCAGGAAUUUGAAAAACUGAGUUUAAAUGUAUUUUGCUAAGGUGUAUGUAAUCUCCCGACUUCAACUGUACAUGCAUAUUAAAAGUUCCAUUUCCAUUUGAAAUCUUUUGAACAUCAGAGCAAUCUUGAGGGAAUCCUAUUUGAGUCAGAAAAAGAUAUUCAUAUGAUAGUUUGAACCAAGACUUAAAAAUAACCGAUAUUGACACAAGAUGUAAGAACACAACAUACACAAUCACAGUUAACAAAAAUAUAUGUUUAAUCUAGCAUAAACUCAUAUAUAGAAUUUAUUAUACAAGAGACCAAAUUCACAAAUUCUACAGCACAACAACAGUCAUGUCUUAAUUGUAAAACUAAUGCUAUAAAGUAAAAAAGUUAUGGGCGGAGUUAAAAAUGUACUGUCCGAAGUAUUACAAUGUAAAUUUACUUUUAAUCUGUCUGUCUGCAUAUUUCAAGACAUGUCAUAUGAGGGUGCAGUAAGAUACCUGAUGGGUUGGACGAUACUCUUCUCGUCAUUUAUCUUGAAAAAACGUAUACUUAAAAACUGGAAAUCAACCAAUCCUCCAUCGUUAAGACAAUGUAAAAAUCAUAUGCUUCUUUAUCUAAGUAUUGAAAGAGUGUUGGUGACAAAGUGGAACAAAAUGGUGCAAUUUGAAGACAUGUGGUGGAGAGUAAUACAGGCACUGGGGAUAGGGGUGAGAACAGGUGGGUCUGGGCAGGGUGAGAACUGGUGGGUCUGGGCAGGGUGAGAACAUGUGGGUGUGGGCAGGGUGAGAACUGGUGGGUCUGGGCAGAGUGAGAACAGGUGGGUCUGAGCAGGGUGUGAACAUGUGGGUCUGGGCAGGGUGAGAACUGGUGGGUCUGGGCAGAGUGAGAACUGGUGGGUCUGAGGAGGGUGAGAACAUGUGGGUCUAGGCAGGGUGAGAACUGGUGGGUCUGGGCAGGGUGAGAACAGGUGGGUCUGGGCAGGGUGAGAACUGGUGGGUCUGAGCAGGGUGAGAACAUGUGGGUCUGGGCAGGGUGAGAACAUGUGGGUCUGGGCAGGGUGAGAACUGGUUGGUCUGGGCAGGGUGAGAACAUGUGGGUCUGGGCAGGGUGAGAACUGGUGGGUCUGGGCAGUUGUGAUGUUGUUGAUGUUUGUCUGCAUCUAUAUGUUGUCUUUUGUUUGUGUAUGUUUGUAUUAUUAGAUAUUCAAACUUGUCCUCCAUAACGUUUGAGAUGGUGGCAAUUUGCCAAAGAAAUUCUAUAUUUUCAUUCUCCUAUUAAUUUCUAAGUCCUUGGCCGUGAUGAUUGUUUAUUGCUCUACCGUUUCUUCAUCCUGUCU